Molecule: ribosomal RNA, 253 nt
Filed under: uncultured bacterium
Lineage: Bacteria
Description: partial 16S ribosomal RNA
Rfam family: Bacterial small subunit ribosomal RNA
Source: RNAcentral
UACGGGGGGGGCAAGCGUUGUCCGGAUUUAUUGGGCGUAAAGAGCGUGUAGGCGGCUAGGUAGGUCCGCUGUGAAAACUUGAGGCUCAACCUCAAGAGGUCGGUGGAAACCAUCUGGCUAGAGCCCGGAAGAGGAGAGUGGAAUUCCCGGUGUAGCGGUGAAAUGCGCAGAUAUCGGGAAGAACACCCGUGGCGAAGGCGGCUCUCUGGGACGGUACUGACGCUGAGGUGCGAAAGCGUGGGGAGCAAACAGG